RNAcentral lists this ribosomal RNA (234 nucleotides) under Escherichia coli. Its description in RNAcentral is "partial 16S ribosomal RNA". It matches the Rfam family "Bacterial small subunit ribosomal RNA", at positions 1312 to 1533 of the family's 1533-position model. The record is from RNAcentral. Lineage: Bacteria; Pseudomonadati; Pseudomonadota; Gammaproteobacteria; Enterobacterales; Enterobacteriaceae.
UCGACUCCAUGAAGUCGGAAUCGCUAGUAAUCGUGGAUCAGAAUGCCACGGUGAAUACGUUCCCGGGCCUUGUACACACCGCCCGUCACACCAUGGGAGUGGGUUGCAAAAGAAGUAGGUAGCUUAACCUUCGGGAGGGCGCUUACCACUUUGUGAUUCAUGACUGGGGUGAAGUCGUAACAAGGUAACCGUAGGGGAACCUGCGGUUGGAUCACCUCCUUACCUUAAAGAAGC